GCAUUGGUGGUUCAGUGGUAGAAUUCUCGCCUUCCACUCGGGUUCGAUUCUCGGCUAAUGCA
This 62-nucleotide transfer RNA is filed under the name Scophthalmus maximus (turbot). It matches the Rfam family "tRNA". From Rfam's summary of the family: Transfer RNA (tRNA) molecules are approximately 80 nucleotides in length. Lineage: Eukaryota; Metazoa; Chordata; Actinopteri; Pleuronectiformes; Scophthalmidae. The record is from Rfam by way of RNAcentral.